Pelobates cultripes (western spadefoot toad) is the source of this 381-nucleotide non-coding RNA. Lineage: Eukaryota; Metazoa; Chordata; Amphibia; Anura; Pelobatidae. The record is from the annotation of a GenBank genome assembly.
GCUGGUUUAAAGCUGGGAGAUUACCGUUCCCGCGAAGUGUUGAAUGGGUCUAAAGUAGAGGUCACGAAAGGUAGAUCCUGAGGACCAAUCGGCCGCCUUCAAAAUGUCUUCAAGGCGACAACAAAUCGAGGAAGCCUUCGAGGCCAUCGCUCCUCGUACCAAAUAAGGUGAGAAUAGUGAGGUGUCGAUGCCCGCUAGGGCCAUAAUCCAUUUAACCCAGCGAGUCAGGGUAGAGGUAGGUGCGGUUUCUGAAAAGAGAUGAAAAGUUCGUGUUUUGCUGGAUCUCUUAAAGUGGAGGUGCGAAGUUCAUAAAUUUGUAGGCAUUUGAACGGACAUAAGGACGGUCUGUCAGGGAAUGAUGGGUAUAAGACCUUCUUUGAU